CCUACGGGAGGCAGCAGUAGGGAAUAUUGGACAAUGGACGCAAGUCUGAUCCAGCCAUCCCGCGUGAAGGAUUAAGGCCCUAUGGGUUGUAAACUUCUUUUCUUUGGGAAUAAAAAGCGGUAUUCAUAUCGCCUUGAAGGUACCAGAGGAAUAAGCACCGGCUAACUCCGUGCCAGCAGCCGCGGUAAUACGGAGGGUGCAAGCGUUAUCCGGAUUCACUGGGUUUAAAGGGUGCGUAGGUGGCUUUGUAAGUCAGCGGUGAAAGCCUGGAGCUCAACCCCAGAAUUGCCAUUGAUACUGCAGAGCUUGAAUCAAGUUGAGGUGGAUGGAAUAUUACAUGUAGCGGUGAAAUGCUUAGAUAUGUAAUAGAACACCGAUUGCGAAGGCAGUUCACUAAGCUUGUAUUGACACUGAGGCACGAAAGCGUGGGGAUCAAACAGGAUUAGAUACCCUGGUAGUCCACGCCCUAAACGAUGCAAACUCGACAUUAGCGAUAUACAGUUAGUGUCCAAGCGAAAGCGUUAAGUUUGCCACCUGGGAAGUACGACCGCAAGGUUGAAACUCAAAGUGAUUAGACG
Molecule: ribosomal RNA, 578 nt
Filed under: uncultured bacterium
Lineage: Bacteria
Description: bacterial SSU rRNA
Rfam family: Bacterial small subunit ribosomal RNA
Source: RNAcentral